AACGAACGCUGGCGGCAUGCCUAACACAUGCAAGUCGAACGGGACCGCCGGGCUUAGUGGCGCACGGGUGCGUAACGCGUGGGAACUUGCCCUUAGGUUCGGAAUACUUCCCUGAAAGGGGUGCUAAGACCGGUUAAGCUCAUCGGACCAAAGAUCUACCGCCGUUGGGUGGGCCCGCGUUGGCUUAGCUAGUUGGGAGGGUAAAAGCCUACCAAGGCGACGAUCCAUAGCUGGUCUGGUAGCAAGCUCCGGCACGAUGGGCCUCCGACCCGGCCCAGAAUCCUACGCGAGGGAGGAGUGGAGAAUAUUGGACAAUGGACGAAAGCCUGAUCCAGCCAUGCCGCGUGAGUGAUGAAGGCCUUAGGGAUGUAAAGCUCUUUUACCCGGGAUGAUAAUGACAGUACCGGGAGAAUAAGCACCGGCUAACUCCGUG
Molecule: ribosomal RNA, 433 nt
Filed under: uncultured bacterium
Lineage: Bacteria
Description: partial 16S ribosomal RNA
Rfam family: Bacterial small subunit ribosomal RNA
Source: RNAcentral